Molecule: non-coding RNA, 150 nt
Filed under: Gorilla gorilla gorilla (western lowland gorilla)
Lineage: Eukaryota; Metazoa; Chordata; Mammalia; Primates; Hominidae
Source: Rfam by way of RNAcentral
GCUGGGUGUGGUGGCGGGCGCCUGUAAUCCCAGCUACUCGGGAGGCUGAGGCAGGAGAAUCGCUUGAACCUGGGAGGCGGAGGUUGCAGUGAGCCGAGAUUGCAUGCCACUGUACUCCAGCCUGGGUGAUAGAGUGAGACUCUGUCUCAA